UACGGGGGGGGCAAGCGUUGUUCGGAAUUACUGGGCGUAAAGGGCGCGUAGGCGGCCUUCUAAGUCGCACGUGAAAUCCCUCGGCUUAACCGGGGAACUGCGUGUGAUACUGGAAGGCUUGAAUCCGGGAGAGGGAUGUGGAAUUCCAGGUGUAGCGGUGAAAUGCGUAGAUAUCUGGAGGAACACCGGUGGCGAAGGCGGCAUCCUGGACCGGCAUUGACGCUGAGGCGCGAAAGCUAGGGGAGCAAACGGG
Molecule: ribosomal RNA, 253 nt
Filed under: uncultured Acidobacteriota bacterium
Lineage: Bacteria; Pseudomonadati; Acidobacteriota
Description: uncultured Acidobacteria bacterium partial 16S ribosomal RNA
Rfam family: Bacterial small subunit ribosomal RNA
Source: RNAcentral